Molecule: long non-coding RNA, 1283 nt
Filed under: Homo sapiens (human)
Lineage: Eukaryota; Metazoa; Chordata; Mammalia; Primates; Hominidae
Description: HSALNT0078374
Source: RNAcentral
GUUACUACAUAUUUUCAAACAGUAAGCUUAAAAUCAAAUGACAAAGAGCAGUGACAACUGGGGGAACCAUUCAAAAUUUAUAGUCAGAAAUUCUGGGUUCAAGUCAGAGCUGUAAGAUUUACUUCUGUAAAUCUUAGUGAUGCCUUACUCUUGUUCUUUGUGCCUCAGUUUCCUUGGAUGUGACAAUAUUUCUUUUCUUAUAUCAAAUGAUUGUUAUGAUGAUCAAAUUAUAUAAAAUAAGGAUUUAUAUAAAAGACUAUACAGGUUAUUAUAUUAUGAUGAUGAUCAUCACCUCACAGUACACGGUGCUUAAUAGCUUUUCAGUAAAUGUUGAAGUUAGAUGAAUCUCAUGACAAACCAAUUGUUUUCAGGUAAUUAUUUGAGAAACUUUUUUGAGGUAAUUAUUAAAAAAUAGAAAAGAGAAGACUUCAAAUGGCUAACAUAAAGCAAUGCUAACGGGGGUUUAGUUUAUUGAUUGACUUGUUUUAACUGCCCAGAUUAUCUCUAGUUUCAAUUUUUGCAUAUAUCAAGUGCUUGUAUAUAAAAUACACAAAGUUAAGGUAUUUUAUCUAUUUCUUAUCUCAUUAAGAAAAGCAAAACAGGAGAGGGGCCAAGAUGGCUGAAUAGAAACAGCCCUGAUCUGCAGCUCCCAGGGAGACCAACGCAGAAGGCCUCUUCUGGAACUGAUUGCAAGGAGUGAAAUGGACUAAUUUUAGAAUAAGCAACUCUACUAUGGAACAUCUGAAAAAAAAAGAGCACUUUUUAAAUUACAGCAAAAUAUUUUUUGAUAUAAAUUUGUGUCUGGCUUCCGCAGAAAACAGUAGACACAUAUAAGGUUUUGCUCCAAGAACAGACUGGACAAAUGAAAUGACAUAUAUAUCCACAAGGGACAUGUUUUUAAGGCAGUUGUCAGAGGAGAAAGAGGAGAAGCAUGUGGAAGGAGGGCUUCCUGAUGACUAAAUUAUAUGUAUGUUUCUGUAUGUCUCAUUUCAUGGGAACUACCUCUACUUUCAAAUGAUCAUUUCUUCCCAACAUUUCAAUCUAUAUAUCACUUCUCUUUGUAAUGAAAAGCAUGUUACUUUUCUAACUUUUAGCCUAAAUACUAAGAAAUAAAAAUUUAUUUAAUGAUCCAUUAGACCCACUUAUUUCUGUAUAGUGGCACCAAAGAGAUAUUUUAUAGAACACAUAGUUCUGUUUCUUAUGCCAUUAAACACAGGAGGUUAUUAUUAAGAACAGUAAUACUGAAAAAGUUUGUUGAGUGCAUACUAUAUGCCAGACAAAUG